Molecule: non-coding RNA, 29 nt
Filed under: Mus musculus (house mouse)
Lineage: Eukaryota; Metazoa; Chordata; Mammalia; Rodentia; Muridae
Source: RNAcentral
UNGCCAGCAAUGGUAUGCCCACUCAAUCC